RNAcentral lists this ribosomal RNA (926 nucleotides) under Klebsiella aerogenes. Its description in RNAcentral is "bacterial SSU rRNA". It matches the Rfam family "Bacterial small subunit ribosomal RNA", at positions 56 to 973 of the family's 1533-position model. The record is from RNAcentral. Lineage: Bacteria; Pseudomonadati; Pseudomonadota; Gammaproteobacteria; Enterobacterales; Enterobacteriaceae.
UGCAAGUCGAGCGGUAGCACAGAGAGCUUGCUCUCGGGUGACGAGCGGCGGACGGGUGAGUAAUGUCUGGGAAACUGCCUGAUGGAGGGGGAUAACUACUGGAAACGGUAGCUAAUACCGCAUAACGUCGCAAGACCAAAGUGGGGGACCUUCGGGCCUCAUGCCAUCAGAUGUGCCCAGAUGGGAUUAGCUAGUAGGUGGGGUAAUGGCUCACCUAGGCGACGAUCCCUAGCUGGUCUGAGAGGAUGACCAGCCACACUGGAACUGAGACACGGUCCAGACUCCUACGGGAGGCAGCAGUGGGGAAUAUUGCACAAUGGGCGCAAGCCUGAUGCAGCCAUGCCGCGUGUAUGAAGAAGGCCUUCGGGUUGUAAAGUACUUUCAGCGAGGAGGAAGGCAUUAAGGUUAAUAACCUUGGUGAUUGACGUUACUCGCAGAAGAAGCACCGGCUAACUCCGUGCCAGCAGCCGCGGUAAUACGGAGGGUGCAAGCGUUAAUCGGAAUUACUGGGCGUAAAGCGCACGCAGGCGGUCUGUCAAGUCGGAUGUGAAAUCCCCGGGCUCAACCUGGGAACUGCAUUCGAAACUGGCAGGCUAGAGUCUUGUAGAGGGGGGUAGAAUUCCAGGUGUAGCGGUGAAAUGCGUACAGAUCUGGAGGAAUACCGGUGGCGAAGGCGGCCCCCUGGACAAAGACUGACGCUCAGGUGCGAAAGCGUGGGGAGCAAACAGGAUUAGAUACCCUGGUAGUCCACGCCGUAAACGAUGUCGACUUGGAGGUUGUGCCCUUGAGGCGUGGCUUCCGGAGCUAACGCGUUAAGUCGACCGCCUGGGGAGUACGGCCGCAAGGUUAAAACUCAAAUGAAUUGACGGGGGCCCGCACAAGCGGUGGAGCAUGUGGUUUAAUUCGAUGCAACGCGAAGAACCUUA